Molecule: ribosomal RNA, 492 nt
Filed under: uncultured bacterium
Lineage: Bacteria
Description: partial 16S ribosomal RNA
Rfam family: Bacterial small subunit ribosomal RNA
Source: RNAcentral
GAUGAACGCUAGCUACAGGCUUAACACAUGCAAGUCGAGGGGAAUCGUCAUCGUACUUUUGCUUUUGAUGUUUAGCGACGGGCGCAUGUGUGAGAAACGUGUAUCCCUCCCCUCCACCACUUGUAUAAACCCUUGACAAAUUAACAAUAAUACCAUACGAGUUUCCUCGAAGGCAUUCGCAUGAGAGGAAGAACUUCUCGGUGAUGUAUGGGGAUGCGUCUGAUUAGCUUGUUGGCGGGGUGACGGCCCACAAAGGAAACGAUCAGUAGGGGUUCUGAGAGGAAGGUCCCCCACAUUGGAACUGAGACGCGGACCAAACUCCUACGGGAGGCAGCAGUGAGGAAUAUUGGUCAAUGGGCGAGAGCCUGAACCAGCCAAGUAGCGUGCAGGAUGACGGCCCUAUGGGUUGUAAACUGCUUUUAUAAGGGAAUAAAGUGGGUCACGUGUGACUUUUUGCAUGUACCUUAUGAAUAAGGACCGGCUAAUUCCGUG